GAGCACUUGAUACUAACCGAGCCAUCUGUGUCCCAGGUCUUGUACAGAGAUCUGAGGUACACCUUGUGAUUGCUGGGUCUGAGAAGUGCAACAUUAAACAAGCCAUGCAGUAUUUAAGCUCAGUGUAUAAAGGAUAACACUGGGUUAUAACUCAGAGGCACAAAA
This is a non-coding RNA of Apteryx haastii (Great spotted kiwi), 165 nucleotides long. The record is from Ensembl. Lineage: Eukaryota; Metazoa; Chordata; Aves; Apterygiformes; Apterygidae.